Molecule: long non-coding RNA, 2235 nt
Organism: Leopardus geoffroyi (Geoffroy's cat)
Lineage: Eukaryota; Metazoa; Chordata; Mammalia; Carnivora; Felidae
Exons: 2
Source: RefSeq, a predicted model, not a curated record
CACAGAACCACUCGGAUCUCCUGCCUCAGAUGGAAGGCAGCUCCCUCGUGACGUUCCAGAAGGGAGUAUACCAGCCGAAAGUACCAGAACGCCUCCUAUGCCUUGAGCCGGAGGGUGGACCAGAACGCAUCCCCAAUGUCUCAGGACGCGGCCUGGAUUUCCACCACGGCCUUGAUGCUGCUGCACAUCUUUGACCUGAACCGGUCAAGCCCUUGCCGGAGAAAGAAAUGGAGUCGUUUUACUCAUAAUCUCAGAACUUAACCCACGCAGGCGCCCCACACGCCAUAAAAAUAACAUUGUGGCGACCUCAAAGGGUAACUUACGAAGCACGGACAAUAAGUGGAGUGUGCUUUCUGUCCUAAAAAUCCCAGACUACGGCGGACUUACGAAUAAUUUUCAACAAUCAGGAAGUCUGCAAAAAUCCGUCUUCUAAAGACUGCACGCUGCUCAUCAAAUCUCCUAAGACCUCUGUGUCCCUCCCCCCCUCUGAGGAGGUCCCUGGACCUGACUCCUAAGGGCCAAAGCCAAAGAACCAGGCACCUGCCUCCAGCAAAUCCCCUCCGAUUCCCUCUCAUUCCCAGACACCAAUUUCCAUGAAAACCAGACACAGGACAGAAAGCAGAGCAGGAUAUUCCAAAAUCGCUUCAGAUCUGCAGCCUGAUUUCAUUAGACUCGCCGGCUUGUUUCUUUUAGCCCCCGUGCGUGCCCACGGCAGGUGAAAUUUCGCUGGCACGGCCACCUCAGACCCCAUGCGCUUAAGGGGACCAGGCCGGGGCAGGAGAGGCAGAGAUGGGAGGUUCCGGUGCUGAGGGGGAGACGUGUCCGCCAGAGGUCAGCAGGAAGUGGGGGGGCACUUAGCAAUGCUCACUGUCCUCACUGACCAGGUGUCUCUAGAGCCUGACACUAUCGUGUCACUGUACCCGCCCCAGCAUAAGAAAGGUCUUCAGCCUGGAGGCAAAGACCCCACGGUCGUCAUCCCCAACCCAAGUCUAACUAACAUAGCAGCUUCCAAGAGCACAGGUGGGUCAUUUCGCACCCACAAACACCCAACCUGAGAAGCUGGUGGGGAACCGUCUGGGGACGGGGGCUACACAGCCCCUCCCUCCGGCUUUCUGUCGCCUUCACCGUGCCACAGCUGACAGCUGAGCCCCCUGGCUGACAAUCCCACAGUUAGCAGUUUGUCUCCGAGGUCUCCCCCGGGGACGUGGCAGGGACCCAGCGCAGAAGCGACUGGACGUAAACCUCCCCGGCCAGCCUCAAGGUCUGGUCGCCAGCGGUGACACAGAUUUUCCUCCAAGAUUUGAAGCACAUGUGGCUUGCAUCAACGCGGUCUCGCAUCCAUUCUCUGUUGAGACCACUUGCCUCGCACAUUCUCAUAUUUACACGUUCACUGAACGUAAUCCCGAGUGAAUUAUUUCAGAAGGCUUAAUGCGCCUCAGACUUCUCAAAUACAAUUUAGGCCUUAAAUUAAAUGUGUAGUCCCGUGGGAAACCAGUAGGUUAGACGCAGCCGACGGCAUCCCGGGGACACACAGGAGCCCCAGAACAGAACCGCGGUUGCUUCUAGAAGGAUCUCGCCUGGUAGCCGAGGCUCCCCGGUGAACGGAACGGGAUUCGACCGCAAAACCGGAUUCGGCGUCCAGGUGUGAAAGCAGUGGAACCUACAGGACGCAAGAUAAACAUUCUUGCUGCUUUGUGCGUCCCUCGACGGCCUUGCCAUGAAGCGCCCCAGCGGCCAGAAACGUGUGACGGAACAGACAAGAGCGUACAGCCCCGUUCAUUCAUUUUGAGGUCUGGGUUUUGUUUUGUUUUUCUUUUAAUAAAUCACAACAUUCUUUGUCCCUUCUGUUCGGUUGCCCAAUAACUGCGCAGAAUUAGGUGUUAAAUUUGCUACGGUGAUUAGAGUUGAGACCAGCCACAUGCAUUUUACUUAAAACUGGUUUUUUGGGGGGUUUUUUUGUUUUGUUUUGUUUUGUUUUGUUUUGUUUUGUUUACAGCAAGCACUGCCCACUGGGAAAAAUAAACCAGAACAAGGAGAGCAAAAUUCCCUUAUCAGGCACCAGCGAUAAUGAAAACAAACCAUUUACAAGGAAGCACAGACGAGGAGUUUGCUGCAGACCAAGCACUGGAACUGAAAACAAAUUUCUUACUCAGGGAAAUGUGGAGGAGUAAGAAUCUACAGUGAAGAGUUUUUUGUUUCUUUUUUGUUUGUUUUUUGGUUUUUUUUCCUUUGCAU